CGAGUGAACCGGGAANAGCUCAAAUUUGAAAUCUGGCGUGCUCAGUGCGUCCGAGUUGUAAUCUAUAGAGGCGUUUUCCGUGCCGGACUGUGUCUAAGUCCCUUGGAACAGGGUAUCAAAGAGGGUGAUAAUCCCGUACUUGACACAAUGACCGGUGCUCUGUGAUACGUCUUCUACGAGUCGAGUUGUUUGGGAAUGCAGCUCAAAAUGGGUGGUGAGUUCCAUCUAAAGCUAAAUAUUGGCGAGAGACCGAUAGCGAACAAGUACCGUGAGGGAAAGAUGAAAAGCACUUUGGAAAGAGAGUUAAACAGUACGUGAAAUUGUUGAAAGGGAAACGAUUGAAGUCAGUCGUGACUGAGAGGCUCAGCCGGUUCUGCCGGUGUAUUCCCCUCAGUCGGGUCAACAUCAGUUUUGUUCGGUGGAUAAGGGCAGCUGGAAGGUGGCACCUCCGGGUGUGUUAUAGCCAGCUGUCGCAUACAUCGAAUGAGACUGAGGAAUGCAGCUCGCCUUUAUGGCCGGGGUUCGCCCACGUCCGAGCUUAGGAUGUUGACAUAAUGGCUUUAAACGACCCGUCUUGAAACACG
This 584-nucleotide ribosomal RNA is filed under the name Cryptococcus sp. LusC5.1. Its description in RNAcentral is "eukaryotic LSU rRNA". It matches the Rfam family "Eukaryotic large subunit ribosomal RNA", at positions 90 to 663 of the family's 3401-position model. The record is from RNAcentral. Lineage: Eukaryota; Fungi; Basidiomycota; Tremellomycetes; Tremellales; Cryptococcaceae.